AAGAGUAAGGGUUAAUAGCCCGACCUCCAACCCUUUGUUGUUAUAACUACCUCGUUGCUUUGGCGGGACCGCUCGGUCUCGAGCUGCUGGUCUUCGGCCCGGCAAGUGCCCGCCAGAGUCUACUCAAACUCUUGUUUUAACCGGUCGUCUGAGUUAAACUUUUAAUUAAAUUA
RNAcentral lists this unclassified non-coding RNA (173 nucleotides) under uncultured Rhizosphaera. RNAcentral describes it as "sequence contains ITS1". The record is from RNAcentral. Lineage: Eukaryota; Fungi; Ascomycota.